Molecule: ribosomal RNA, 465 nt
Filed under: Vreelandella stevensii
Lineage: Bacteria; Pseudomonadati; Pseudomonadota; Gammaproteobacteria; Oceanospirillales; Halomonadaceae
Description: partial 16S ribosomal RNA
Rfam family: Bacterial small subunit ribosomal RNA
Source: RNAcentral
CCUACGGGAGGCAGCAGUGGGGAAUAUUGGACAAUGGGGGGAACCCUGAUCCAGCCAUGCCGCGUGUGUGAAGAAGGCCCUCGGGUUGUAAAGCACUUUCAGUGAGGAAGAACGCCUGGUGGUUAAUACCCAUCAGGAAAGACAUCACUCACAGAAGAAGCACCGGCUAACUCCGUGCCAGCAGCCGCGGUAAUACGGAGGGUGCGAGCGUUAAUCGGAAUUACUGGGCGUAAAGCGCGCGUAGGUGGCUUGAUAAGCCGGUUGUGAAAGCCCCGGGCUCAACCUGGGAACGGCAUCCGGAACUGUCAAGCUAGAGUGCAGGAGAGGAAGGUAGAAUUCCCGGUGUAGCGGUGAAAUGCGUAGAGAUCGGGAGGCAUACCAGUGGCGAAGGCGGCCUUCUGGACUGACACUGACACUGAGGUGCGAAAGCGUGGGUAGCAAACAGGAUUAGAUACCCUUGUAGUC